This 232-nucleotide long non-coding RNA is filed under the name Zostera marina. RNAcentral describes it as "long non-coding RNA (ZMAR_LNC000057)". Lineage: Eukaryota; Viridiplantae; Streptophyta; Magnoliopsida; Alismatales; Zosteraceae. The record is from RNAcentral.
AAUUUGGAGAGACAGAUGUUGACCGAGUUGAGCAGUAUCUAGAUUCAAUGAAUUUGAGAGUCCAGUGGACCGAUGAGAAGAAAGAGAAUGGGAUCUGCUAGAAGAUCCGUGAGAGAGAAUUGAUUCCGAUUGUGCUGAGGAUAAAUUGGGGAGGUCAACUUCAUAAUUUGAUAGAUGCCUCAGCCUCAGAAGAACGAUAAUAUUCCGUUGUGAGCGACAUGGAGCAGGUGAU